GUAACGCGUAAGUAAUCUAUCCCUGCAUCUGGGAUAACUACGGGAAACUGUAGCUAAUACCGGAUACGUUUAUCUCUUUGCGAAGAGAUAAAGAAAGGUGGCCUCUUCUUGAAAGCUACUGUGCGAGGAGGAGCUUGCGUACCAUUAGCUUGUUGGUGGGGUAAUGGCCUACCAAGGCAACGAUGGUUAGCGGGUCUGAGAGGAUGAUCCGCCACACUGGAACUGGAACACGGACCAGACUCC
RNAcentral lists this ribosomal RNA (243 nucleotides) under uncultured bacterium. RNAcentral's name for it is "partial 16S ribosomal RNA". It matches the Rfam family "Bacterial small subunit ribosomal RNA", at positions 110 to 339 of the family's 1533-position model. The record is from RNAcentral.